UUGAACGCUGGCGGCAGGCCUAACCCAUGCAAGUCGAGCGGAUGAAGGGAGCUUGCUCCUGGAUUCAGCGGCGGACGGGUGAGUAAUGCCUAGGAAUCUGCCUGGUAGUGGGGGAUAACGUCCGGAAACGGGCGCUAAUACCGCAUACGUCCUGAGGGAGAAAGUGGGGGAUCUUCGGACCUCACGCUAUCAGAUGAGCCUAGGUCGGAUUAGCUAGUUGGUGGGGUAAAGGCCUACCAAGGCGACGAUCCGUAACUGGUCUGAGAGGAUGACCAGUCACACUGGAACUGAGACACGGUCCAGACUCCUACGGGAGGCAGCAGUGGGGAAUAUUGGACAAUGGGCGAAAGCCUGAUCCAGCCAUGCCGCGUGUGUGAAGAAGGUCUUCGGAUUGUAAAGCACUUUAAGUUGGGAGGAAGGGCAGUAAGUUAAUACCUUGCUGUUUUGACGUUACCAACAGAAUAAGCACCGGCUAACUUCGUG
Molecule: ribosomal RNA, 483 nt
Filed under: uncultured bacterium
Lineage: Bacteria
Description: partial 16S ribosomal RNA
Rfam family: Bacterial small subunit ribosomal RNA
Source: RNAcentral